GGCUGUAGUUCAUUAUCGAGUUUAAGGAAGCUUGGGUGAGAAGGAAUUAUAUACACUACGUGGAUUGUGGUGUUGGAAGUAAUUGUUUAAGCAUAGAUUUUAAAUAAUUUCAUUGAAAUUUGAUAUCGAAUCUCCAAUUGAUCGAGAAUAAGGAGGAAAUGAGAUGGAUACGUAAGUUGUAGCAGAAGCAUAUUGCAGAAGAAAUUAACAUCUGAGUGAAGAAGAAGAUUUGACAAUGUGUUUAUGUUUAGUUAAUGUUUUAUUUAUUUAUUUUGUAACUCUUUUAGUCUUGGGUUUUGAGUUUUAAGUGUUGGGAUUGACUUUGGAAAUAAUUUUCAUGCACAAUUAUUAUAAGCAAUAUAGUUGGAGUAUCUUUUAUUUCGUGAGAGAGAUUAUGUGAAUGUAAUGAAAAUUUUAAUUUGUAUAU
Non-coding RNA from Salvia hispanica, 427 nucleotides. The record is from RefSeq and is a predicted model, not a curated record. Lineage: Eukaryota; Viridiplantae; Streptophyta; Magnoliopsida; Lamiales; Lamiaceae.